Molecule: ribosomal RNA, 443 nt
Filed under: uncultured bacterium
Lineage: Bacteria
Description: partial 16S ribosomal RNA
Rfam family: Bacterial small subunit ribosomal RNA
Source: RNAcentral
ACUACGGGGGGCAGCAGUGGGGAAUAUUGGGCAAUGGGCGCAAGCCUGACCCAGCAACGCCGCGUGAAGGAAGAAGGCUUUCGGGUUGUAAACUUCUUUUCUCAGGGACGAAGCAAGUGACGGUACCUGAGGAAUAAGCCACGGCUAACUACGUGCCAGCAGCCGCGGUAAUACGUAGGUGGCAAGCGUUAUCCGGAUUUACUGGGUGUAAAGGGCGUGUAGGCGGGGACGCAAGUCAGAUGUGAAAACCACGGGCUCAACCUGUGGCCUGCAUUUGAAACUGUGUUUCUUGAGUACUGGAGAGGCAGACGGAAUUCCUAGUGUAGCGGUGAAAUGCGUAGAUAUUAGGAGGAACACCAGUGGCGAAGGCGGUCUGCUGGACAGCAACUGACGCUGAGGCGCGAAAGCGUGGGGAGCAAACAGGAUUAGAUACCCCGGUAGUC